UGCGGGGUAGAGCAGCCCUGUAGCUCGCAAGUCUCAUAACCUUGAGGUCGCUGGUUCAAAUCCAGCCCCCGCAACCA
This 77-nucleotide transfer RNA is filed under the name Elusimicrobiota bacterium. Its description in RNAcentral is "Elusimicrobia bacterium (groundwater metagenome) tRNA-Met". It matches the Rfam family "tRNA". Rfam says of the family: Transfer RNA (tRNA) molecules are approximately 80 nucleotides in length. Their secondary structure includes four short double-helical elements and three loops (D, anti-codon, and T loops). Lineage: Bacteria; Pseudomonadati; Elusimicrobiota. The record is from RNAcentral.